UACGAAGGGGGCUAGCGUUGCUCGGAAUCACUGGGCGUAAAGCGCACGUAGGCGGACUCUUAAGUCAGGGGUGAAAUCCUGGAGCUCAACUCCAGAACUGCCUUUGAUACUGGCGAGCUUGAGUCCGGGAGAGGUGAGUGGAACUGCGAGUGUAGAGGUGAAAUUCGUAGAUAUUCGCAAGAACACCAGUGGCGAAGGCGGCUCACUGGCCCGGUACUGACGCUGAGGUGCGAAAGCGUGGGGAGCAAACAGG
Molecule: ribosomal RNA, 253 nt
Filed under: uncultured bacterium
Lineage: Bacteria
Description: partial 16S ribosomal RNA
Rfam family: Bacterial small subunit ribosomal RNA
Source: RNAcentral